This 332-nucleotide long non-coding RNA is filed under the name Brassica napus (rape). RNAcentral describes it as "long non-coding RNA (BNAP_LNC001483)". The record is from RNAcentral. Lineage: Eukaryota; Viridiplantae; Streptophyta; Magnoliopsida; Brassicales; Brassicaceae.
GGUGAAGCUCACAACCGUUGUACCAUCUCAGGCCUGCACACGGUAUAGCAAACGGGAGCGUCGCAAUCCAGACAGAUACACGCCGUCUGAAGGACCCGAAAAGCAAGAACCUGGCAAACGUGCUCGUCGUGGUGAAAAGGAGAAGGAGAAUGUGGUUGCAUCCAUUGCUGAGCCAAGUAUUCCAAUUAAGGAAACAACUUCUCUCAUCGGGGGUUUUACACCAUUCCUCCCACCUAAUCCUGUUAAGCGAGCUACAUUCCUCGAGGCUAUGAAGGAUGCCAAGUAAGUUGUGCAUAGUCCCUCUCUCAUAUUUUACUUUGCUUUUUUACAAC